Molecule: ribosomal RNA, 254 nt
Filed under: uncultured bacterium
Lineage: Bacteria
Description: partial 16S ribosomal RNA
Rfam family: Bacterial small subunit ribosomal RNA
Source: RNAcentral
UACGAGGGGAGCAAGCGUUGUUCGGAUUUACUGGGCGUAAAGGGCGCGUAGGCGGCCACGCCAAGUCACUUGUGAAAUCUCCGGGCUUAACUCGGAACGGCCAAGUGAAACUGUCAUGCUAGAGUGCAGAAGGGGCAAUCGGAAUUCUUGGUGUAGCGGUGAAAUGCGUAGAUAUCAAGAGGAACACCUGAGGUGAAGACGGGUUGCUGGGCUGACACUGACGCUGAGGCGCGAAAGCCAGGGGAGCAAACGGG